This 378-nucleotide ribosomal RNA is filed under the name uncultured bacterium. RNAcentral describes it as "bacterial SSU rRNA". It matches the Rfam family "Bacterial small subunit ribosomal RNA", at positions 362 to 757 of the family's 1533-position model. The record is from RNAcentral.
UCUUGGACAAUGGGGGAAACCCUGAUCCAGCCAUGCCGCGUGAGUGAUGAAGGCCUUCGGGUUGUAAAACUCUUUCGACGGGGACGAUAAUAACGGUACCCGUAGAAGAAGCUCCGGCUAACUUCGUGCCAGCAGUCGCGGUAAUACGAAGGGGGCUAGCGUUGUUCGGAAUUACUGGGCGUAAAGCGCGCGCAGGCGGCUAUCCAAGUCAGUGGUGAAAGCCCGGAGCUCAACUCCGGAACUGCCAUUGAAACUGUUUAGCUUGAGGACGAGAGAGGUGAGUGGAAUUCCCAGUGUAGAGGUGAAAUUCGUAGAUAUUGGGAAGAACACCGGUGGCGAAGGCGGCUCACUGGCUCGUAUCUGACGCUCAGGCGCGAC